AUUGAACGCUGGCGGAAUGCUUUACACAUGCAAGUCGAACGGCAGCACGGACUUCGGUCUGGUGGCGAGUGGCGAACGGGUGAGUAAUGUAUCGGAACGUGCCCAGUCGUGGGGGAUAACGUAGUGAAAAUUACGCUAAUACCGCAUACGAUCUAUGGAUGAAAGCGGGGGAUCGCAAGACCUCGCGCGAUUGGAGCGGCCGAUAUCAGAUUAGGUAGUUGGUGGGGUAAAGGCCCACCAAGCCAACGAUCUGUAGCUGGUCUGAGAGGACGACCAGCCACACUGGAACUGAGACACGGUCCAGACUCCUACGGGAGGCAGCAGUGGGGAAUUUUGGACAAUGAGCGAAAGCCUGAUCCAGCCAUUCCGCGUGCAGGAUGAAGGCCCUCGGGUUGUAAACUGCUCUUGUACAGAACGAAAAGGUUUCUACUAAUACUAGGAGCUCAUGACGGUACUGUAAGAAUAAGCACCGGCUAACUACGUGCCAGCCGCCGCGGUAA
RNAcentral lists this ribosomal RNA (500 nucleotides) under uncultured bacterium. Its description in RNAcentral is "partial 16S ribosomal RNA". It matches the Rfam family "Bacterial small subunit ribosomal RNA", at positions 30 to 523 of the family's 1533-position model. The record is from RNAcentral.